Molecule: ribosomal RNA, 719 nt
Filed under: Liobagrus mediadiposalis (south torrent catfish)
Lineage: Eukaryota; Metazoa; Chordata; Actinopteri; Siluriformes; Amblycipitidae
Description: partial small subunit ribosomal RNA
Rfam family: Bacterial small subunit ribosomal RNA
Source: RNAcentral
CACCGCGGUUAUACGAAAGACCCUAGUUGAUAGAUACGGCGUAAAGGGUGGUUAAGGAAAUAAAAUAAUAAAGCUAAAGAUUUCCCAAACUGUCAUACGCCCCCGGAAAUACGAAACCCAAAUACGAAAGUAGCUUUAAACUAAUUCACCUGACCCCACGAAAGCUAAGAAACAAACUGGGAUUAGAUACCCCACUAUGCUUAGCGCUAAACCCAGAUGGUAAAUUACAAACACAUCCGCCAGGGUACUACGAGCACAGCUUAAAACCCAAAGGACUUGGCGGUGUCUCAGACCCACCUAGAGGAGCCUGUUCUAGAACCGAUAACCCCCGUUAAACCUCACCACUUCUAGCCUUACCCGCCUAUAUACCGCCGUCGUCAGCUUACCCUGUGAAGGCCCAACAGUAAGCAAAAUGGGCUCGCCCAAAAACGUCAGGUCGAGGUGUAGCGUACGAAGUGGAUAGAAAUGGGCUACAUUUUCUAUAGAUAGAAUAUACGAAUAGCACCCUGAAACGAGUGCUUAAAGGUGGAUUUAGCAGUAAAAAGCAAAUAGAGUGUCCUUUUGAAUCAGGCUCUGAGACGCGCACACACCGCCCGUCACUCUCCCCCAAAUCACUAAUCAAAUAAUUCAUAAUAACAAAACCAUUCUCACGGGGAGGCAAGUCGUAACAUGGUAAGUGUACCGGAAGGUGCACUUGGAAUAAUCAGAGCGUGGCUGAG